CUGGCAUCUAAGUUGAAUUUAUUUCUUAUGUAGAAAGAAGGGAAUUAAACCUGGUUAUCUAAGCAACCCAUUCGGAACGAUAAAUUACGCAUUGUGUGAUCGCAAAUAACGGAAGACUGCCAUCGAGACUACAUUCAGUUAUGUUUUGUAGAAUUGUAUUCCAAAGUCUAAUGAUAUGUAUUGAAAAUCGUACAUAUUCCGAAUUAAUUAACAUUGCUUAAAACUUUUAUAGCCCCUCGAUGAUCCUGUAGCUGUAGUAGUGUCUUCGCCUCGAGAUUUGAAGGUCAAGGUUUGAAAAUUGUUAAUUUAAACCAAAGACUUCCAAAUAGGUAUUUGCUGGUUAUACGUUAGCGACUCGUAAUUAAGGAAUAAGAGCAAUAAUUGGUCAAUAUUCAUAUAACAUUAAUACAUUUUCGUCCUGACUAUGCAUAUAUAUUCGCCGCUGGACGUUAAUCAGCCAUUCAUUAUGAUCAUCAUUUUGAAAACUUAUAUCUUUCUUUGAAUCAGUAGGUUUUCAUUAGAGGGUCAGCAGAUGAAAAGUCUCCCUUCCUUAAAUCAAUCAGACUGCAGGGCAUAAACGGAAAAUCCAACGGAGAUACUGGUCAAGUUACAGAAGGUUUAUCCAUAGCUGGGUAUGAAAAAUGAACAUACAUGUUCUUAAUUUCACUCUAUAUAUUUGUUAGGCAGUCUUAAGGCAAAUCCUAUUGAAUAUCUUUUCGACAAUUGUCA
This 729-nucleotide long non-coding RNA is filed under the name Mytilus galloprovincialis (Mediterranean mussel). Lineage: Eukaryota; Metazoa; Mollusca; Bivalvia; Mytilida; Mytilidae. The record is from RNAcentral.